RNAcentral lists this ribosomal RNA (479 nucleotides) under uncultured bacterium. Its description in RNAcentral is "partial 16S ribosomal RNA". It matches the Rfam family "Bacterial small subunit ribosomal RNA", at positions 28 to 507 of the family's 1533-position model. The record is from RNAcentral.
GAUGAACGCUAGCGGGAGGCCUAACACAUGCAAGCCGAGCGGUAUUUGUUCUUCGGAACAGAGAGAGCGGCGCACGGGUGCGGAACACGUGUGCAACCUGCCUUUAUCCGGGGGAUAGCCUUUCGAAAGGAAGAUUAAUACCCCAUAAUAUAUUGAGUGGCAUCAUUUGAUAUUGAAAACUCCGGUGGAUAGAGAUGGGCACGCGCAAGAUUAGAUAGUUGGUGAGGUAACGGCUCACCAAGUCAAUGAUCUUUAGGGGGCCUGAGAGGGUGAUCCCCCACACUGGUACUGAGACCCGGACCAGACUCCUACGGGAGGCAGCAGUGCGGAAUAUUGGACAAUGGGUUAGCGCCUGAUCCAGCCAUCCCGCGUGAAGGACGACGGCCCUAUGGGUUGUAACCUUCUUUUGUAUAGGGAUAAACCUACUCUCGGGAGAGUAGCUGAAGGUACUAUACGAAUAAGCACCGGCUAACUCCGUG